Molecule: unclassified non-coding RNA, 339 nt
Filed under: soil metagenome
Description: partial contains 5.8S ribosomal RNA, internal transcribed spacer 2, and large subunit ribosomal RNA
Rfam family: 5.8S ribosomal RNA (bases 1-120)
Source: RNAcentral
GAUGAAGAACGUAGCGAAAUGCGAUAAGUAGUGUGAAUUGCAGAAUUCAGUGAAUCAUCGAAUCUUUGAACACACAUUGCGCCCCUUGGUAUUCCAUGGGGCAUGCCUGUUCGAGCGUCAUUUGAACCCUCAAGCUCUGCUUGGUGUUGGGUGUUUGUCCCGCCAUUGCGCGUGGACUCGCCUUAAAGCAAUUGGCAGCCAUGUAAUCCGGCUUUGAGCGCAGCACAUUGCGUACUCUCUACUGGGACAUGGGCAUCCAGAAGCCUUAUUUUUUUUUACUCUUGACCUCGGAUCAGGUAGGGAUACCCGCUGAACUUAAGCAUAUCAAUAAGCGGAGGA